This is a long non-coding RNA of Molossus molossus (Pallas's mastiff bat), 449 nucleotides long. RefSeq lists it as uncharacterized. NCBI's taxonomy places the organism in Eukaryota, Metazoa, Chordata, Mammalia, Chiroptera, Molossidae. The transcript has 3 exons. The record is from RefSeq and is a predicted model, not a curated record.
AGCUGAUAAAAUUUGGGAAGAAGAGUCUGGGGCUUGAUGCAAGAGCCCUCUGGGGUUCUGUGUGUAUUUAUUAUUGUAACCCCAAGAAUUCAUUGCUGUUCAGAUGGUGCAGGUGGACCUCAAAAGCAGACUCUAAGAAUGGGAUUAUAGAAUUGGAUCACCCACCAGCCAACUGGCCAUCAUGACUCCAUCAUUGGUAAUGGGUGACGUAUUGGCAGUCCUGGCUUGCUGUAGCAUUUCAACCAUGCACAUUUCCACCUGGCAUCAGACCAACAGCUGAAGUCAAAUCUCAUCAUGAACUGACUAAGAACGUGCUGGACCUGCAAAGGGAGGAGCAGACUCAUCUGCAGGAUCUGUGGGACCUGCCUAGCAUGUGUCAGGAGUUGGGAGAGUGUGCCUAGGAGAGGAUCUUUAAGCGGGACACCCUCUCUCAUAAAACCCUGGCAAGU